UCGAACGAGAGUUUUUAACUCUAGUGGCGAACGGGUGCGUAAUACGUGAGAAUCUGCCCUUAGGAGAAGAAUAACUACUGGAAACGGUAGCUAAGUCUUCAUAUGCCGAGAGGUGAAAUAGUUUCAACUGCCUAAGGAUGAGCUCACGCCUGAUUAGCUUGUUGGUGAGGUAACGGCUUACCAAGGCCACGAUCAGUAGCUGGUUUGAGAGAACGAUCAGCCACACUGGGACUGAGACACGGCCCAGACUCCUCCGGGAGGCAGCAGUGAGGAAUUUUCCGCAAUGGGCGAAAGCCUGACGGAGCAAUACCGCGUGAGGGAUGAAGGAUUUUGGUCUGUAAACCUCUUUUCUCAAGAAAGAAGUUCUGACGGUACUUGAGGAAUAAGCAUCGGCUAACUCCGUGCCAGCAGCCGCGGUAAUACGGGGGAUGCAAGCGUUAUCCGGAAUCAUUGGGCGUAAAGCGCCUGUAGGUUGUUUAGUAAGUCUGUUGUUAAAGACCAGGGCUUAACCCUGGGAAAGCAAUGGAAACUACUAGACUUGAGUAUGGCAGGGGUAGAGGGAAUUUCUAGUGUAGCGGUGAAAUGCGUAGAUAUUAGAAAGAACACCGGCGGCGAAAGCGCUCUACUGGACCAUUACUGACACUCAGAGGCGAAAGCUAGGGGAGCAAAAGGGAUUAGAU
This 680-nucleotide ribosomal RNA is filed under the name uncultured bacterium. RNAcentral describes it as "bacterial SSU rRNA". It matches the Rfam family "Bacterial small subunit ribosomal RNA", at positions 62 to 783 of the family's 1533-position model. The record is from RNAcentral.